UCUUACUUCCUUUCCCUUUCUCUUCACCAUUGAGAGAAUACAGAAAGAAGACCAUCUACAAGCCAGAGAGCAGCCUUCACGAGACACUGGAUUUCUAGAGCCUUGAUUUUGAACUUCCCAGCUUUCAGAACUGCUUCUUCUUCAGUUGACCUCUUGAAGUCUCGGAGGAAUGGCCAUUUGUCAGGGUAUGUGGGGAAGCAGUUCACUCUUCUAGAAAUUGAAAUUUACUUCUUUGCUAAACUGCAAGGCGUGCCAAGCCGCAAAUAGCUCGGGGAUCAUAAUUCAGAAGCUGCUGGUUCAGUCUCUUGUACGCAAGUCUGUAGAAGUUAUACCACGGGCCCUCCAAGGUUCUCGGAGCAGCCAGGAAACCCAACAGGAAGAUGCUGAACUUGCCUAAAAGAACUUUCCAGAAGGCACUGGGGUAACUACUCCAUAUUUUAAACCAUAUGGUAACGUAGACUUGUCUCUUUUCUGUUAGGCCAAACCUCCUUUUGCAAAUAGAUAAGUGAUUCCUGGGGAAAAAGCACUUGUUUUCCACCUUUUCUUACUGUUUAAGGGGACUGGACUGGGAUUUAAAAGAUUUAAAUUCUAGUCCCUGCUGAAAAGUUAACAAACUGUGACCUUGGGAAAGUUGCACAUUCCCUUAGCCUGUUUCCUCAUCUGUAAUUUGAGGGGUUUGGAAGGAAUGGUCUUCAUGGUCCUGUCCAGCUUUACAGUCCUGUGACUUUACUCUGUGACUUUUUUCCUACAGUGCUUCCUUUG
Molecule: long non-coding RNA, 762 nt
Organism: Gorilla gorilla gorilla (western lowland gorilla)
Lineage: Eukaryota; Metazoa; Chordata; Mammalia; Primates; Hominidae
Exons: 3
Source: RefSeq, a predicted model, not a curated record